AAUGGCCUAACGGCUGAACCAGCAACUUGGAGGAAUGUAUAGCGAAAGCUAAUUUUAAAUAUUGGUUUACCCGAAUAAAAUUCUGAGCGGAAAAAUGAUGAUGACAUUUUCUUCAAAUGUCUUGACCAAAUUAUGUGCCAGCAGUCGCGGUAAUACAUAAAAGACUAGUGUUAUUCAUCUUUAAUAGGUUUAAAGGGUACCUAGACGGUAAAUAAAGCCUACUAAUUUGUAGAGUUACUUGUGAGGGGGCUAUUAAGUACUGGUGUGUAGAGAUGAAAUUCUUUGAUACC
RNAcentral lists this ribosomal RNA (290 nucleotides) under Fellhanera sp. 2309. RNAcentral's name for it is "partial small subunit ribosomal RNA". It matches the Rfam family "Bacterial small subunit ribosomal RNA", at positions 370 to 698 of the family's 1533-position model. Lineage: Eukaryota; Fungi; Ascomycota; Lecanoromycetes; Lecanorales; Pilocarpaceae. The record is from RNAcentral.